ACGAACGCUGGCGGCGUGCUUAACACAUGCAAGUCGAACGGGUCUGCCCUGUUUUUUGCGGGGUGGGUCAGUGGCGAACGGGUGAGUAACACGUGAGUAACCUGCCCCUCACUUCUGGAUAACCGCUUGAAAGGGUGGCUAAUACGGGGUGUUCUGGCUGUGCCGCAUGGUGUGGCUGGGAAAGAUUCACUUUUGUGGUGUUUUGGUGGGGGAUGGGCUCGCGGCCUAUCAGCUUGUUGGUGGGGUGAUGGCCUGCCAAGGCUUUGACGGGUAGCCGGCCUGGGAGGGUGGGCGGUCACACUGGGACUGAGAUACGGCCCAGACUCCUGCGGGAGGCAGCAGUGGGGGGUAUUGCACAAUGGGCGGAAGCCUGAUGCAGCGACGUCGCGUGAGGGAUGGAGGCCUUCGGGUUGUGAACCUCUUUCGCCGGUGAAGAAGGUCCUGCUCUUUGUGGUGGGGUUGACGGUAGCCGGGUUAUGAAGCGCCGGCUAACUACGUG
RNAcentral lists this ribosomal RNA (499 nucleotides) under uncultured bacterium. RNAcentral describes it as "partial 16S ribosomal RNA". It matches the Rfam family "Bacterial small subunit ribosomal RNA", at positions 29 to 507 of the family's 1533-position model. The record is from RNAcentral.